AUUGAACGCUGGCGGCAUGCCUAACACAUGCAAGUCGAGCGGAAAAGGGCAGCUGGGUGCUGGAGUCAGGGGCGCGGGGGAGUGAAAUACCGAGGAAUGUCCGGGGGAGUGGGGGAUAACGGCCGGAGACGGGCGAUAAUACCGCAUAAGUCCUGAGGGAGAGAGGGGGGGAUCGUCGGACCUCGCGCUAGCAGAGGAGCCUAGGUCGGAUUAGGUAGUUGGUGGGGUAAAGGCUUACCAAGGCGACGAUCCGUAACUGGUCUGAGAGGAUGAUCAGUCACACUGGAACUGAGACACGGCCCAGACUCCUACGGGAGGCAGCAGUGGGGAAUUUUGGACAAUGGGCGCAAGCCUGAUCCAGCCAUGCCGCGUGCAUGAAGAAGGUCUUCGGGUUGUAAAGUACUUUUAGUUGGGACGAAAGGCAUUCUGUUAAUACCUUGCUGUCUUGACGUUACCGACAGAAUAAGCACCGGCUAACUACGUG
RNAcentral lists this ribosomal RNA (484 nucleotides) under uncultured bacterium. RNAcentral's name for it is "partial 16S ribosomal RNA". It matches the Rfam family "Bacterial small subunit ribosomal RNA", at positions 29 to 507 of the family's 1533-position model. The record is from RNAcentral.